RNAcentral lists this ribosomal RNA (660 nucleotides) under Micromonospora matsumotoense. RNAcentral describes it as "bacterial SSU rRNA". It matches the Rfam family "Bacterial small subunit ribosomal RNA", at positions 67 to 746 of the family's 1533-position model. Lineage: Bacteria; Bacillati; Actinomycetota; Actinomycetes; Micromonosporales; Micromonosporaceae. The record is from RNAcentral.
CGGAAGGCCCUUCGGGGUACUCGAGCGGCGAACGGGUGAGUAACACGUGAGUAACCUGCCCUAGGCUUUGGGAUAACCCUCGGAAACGGGGGCUAAUACCGAAUAUGACCUGACCUCGCAUGGGGUUGGGUGGAAAGUUUUUCGGCCUGGGAUGGGCUCGCGGCCUAUCAGCUUGUUGGUGGGGUGAUGGCCUACCAAGGCGACGACGGGUAGCCGGCCUGAGAGGGCGACCGGCCACACUGGGACUGAGACACGGCCCAGACUCCUACGGGAGGCAGCAGUGGGGAAUAUUGCACAAUGGGCGGAAGCCUGAUGCAGCGACGCCGCGUGAGGGAUGACGGCCUUCGGGUUGUAAACCUCUUUCAGCAGGGACGAAGCGUAAGUGACGGUACCUGCAGAAGAAGCACCGGCCAACUACGUGCCAGCAGCCGCGGUAAGACGUAGGGUGCGAGCGUUGUCCGGAUUUAUUGGGCGUAAAGAGCUCGUAGGCGGCUUGUCGCGUCGACCGUGAAAACUUGGGGCUCAACCCCAAGCCUGCGGUCGAUACGGGCAGGCUAGAGUUCGGUAGGGGAGACUGGAAUUCCUGGUGUAGCGGUGAAAUGCGCAGAUAUCAGGAGGAACACCGGUGGCGAAGGCGGGUCUCUGGGCCGAUACUGACGC